This 253-nucleotide ribosomal RNA is filed under the name uncultured bacterium. RNAcentral describes it as "partial 16S ribosomal RNA". It matches the Rfam family "Bacterial small subunit ribosomal RNA", at positions 524 to 776 of the family's 1533-position model. The record is from RNAcentral.
UACGGAGGGGGCUAGCGUUGUUCGGAAUUACUGGGCGUAAAGCGCACGUAGGCGGCUUUGUAAGUCAGAGGUGAAAGCCUGGAGCUCAACUCCAGAACUGCCUUUGAGACUGCGUCGCUCGAAUCCGGGAGAGGCGGGUGGAAUUCCGAGUGUAGAGGUGAAAUUCGUAGAUAUUCGGAAGAACACCAGUGGCGAAGGCGGCCCGCUGGACCGGCAUUGACGCUGAGGUGCGAAAGCGUGGGGAGCAAACAGG